This 1236-nucleotide long non-coding RNA is filed under the name Phoenix dactylifera (date palm). Its description in RNAcentral is "long non-coding RNA (PDAC_LNC015346)". The record is from RNAcentral. Lineage: Eukaryota; Viridiplantae; Streptophyta; Magnoliopsida; Arecales; Arecaceae.
CUCUUCUUAAUUUCCUUUUUUUUUAUGUUAAAGAGAAGAAAAAUCAUAAACAUAAUCCUUGAUGGUUAAGGAUUUCAGGCAGUUCCAUGUUGCAGUGCCUUAUAAGGACCCUGGAUAAGUAAAUACAAGAAAUGUCACAAGAUUAUAGUCUUCUAUAUUAAAUGACUAUAACAUCGUAUGACUGUGUGCAUUUGAUAAGAUAGACACUUAACCUCUAAAAUAUCAGAAAAAAAGCCUAAAUCAAGGUUUGUGAAACCAAAAGGCUUUUUUUUUGCGAAACAAAUCUUACUGAUUGGCUCCUCCUGUAGUGAAGAUUUACCUUGGCAGCCACUAAAUUAGAACCCCCUUUGUAAGGGCCCAAAUUAUGCCAUAUGCCUAGCAACCUCCUUCUUGUGCUACCGGUCAUUCAAAAUUUCCUGUAUGGCAGCUUGAGUCCGGGUCUUCUCCAUGUUAUCUGGAUUUAGCACCUUAUAAUCCUCCCAGUCCUUGGUUGACAUGAUGGUUGCUUAGUUGCUCAAUGAUCAAUCUCUAUUCGUCUUGGCCCUUUCUUGCUCUCCUUGAAGUCAUGAAAGUGCUUUUAAAUAGGUUGAUGGAGCUCUUGAGGACACUUCUUACAGGUAGCUAUAUCAGGGUAACCACUUGUUAGAUGUUGCUUCAGUCUAUUUACCCUACCUGUUCCUACUUAGAGUCGUACCAGUUGCACUUCCAAUGGUGUCAGCCACAACAUUGUACCAUGCUCCCAACUAAUAUCAACUUGCUUCUCCUUCUUUUUCAGCUUUAUUGCUGCAAUUAAAUAAUAAAAAAAUUGAAUAUUCUAAAUAACAUGAAAAAAUGCAUGUUUUUUGAGCAUUCGAUGCAUAGGUUAGGGGUUUCUAAAUUACUACUUUUGAUAUGCAAGCAAUUUAUAAGUAGUAAAGCAUAUCUAACAGCUCAGAUCAUCGAUGUGGGAUUUCUGUCAUCCAAUUCAAAAGAUAUAAAUUUAUAAGAUCUUCUCCAGGUGGGACUCUGUAAGAGUUACACAAAGUAUAACUUGAUCCUAACUCUUUUUUUUAUAAAUAUUUAUGUUUUUCUUUCUGAUUCCAUUUCUUUUUUUUCCCCCCUAAUUUAGAGUAUAAUCUUUUGGCAUAUUAUGGAUCCUAAAGUGUACCAUAUCAUAUUCUUUACCUUUUCUUCUUAACUAUAAAAUAUAAAUUUUGCAUGCUCUUUAAUGCAAUACUUGUACUUGCAUGUGCAAUG